RNAcentral lists this long non-coding RNA (278 nucleotides) under Lathyrus oleraceus (garden pea). RNAcentral's name for it is "Pisum sativum (pea) long non-coding RNA (PSAT_LNC036251)". Lineage: Eukaryota; Viridiplantae; Streptophyta; Magnoliopsida; Fabales; Fabaceae. The record is from RNAcentral.
UGUAUUCUGUUUGUAUCAUUUUAGUUUUACAUCUUUUUCUUGAAUGUGAUGCAGUUCAAGCUCUGCAAGGUCCGUUCAGUGCAGUUUGGGCAGAAAGGCAUCCCAUACCUCAACACCUAUGAUGGUCGCACCAUUCGGUACCCAGACCCUGUCAUCAGGGCAAAUGACACCAUUAAGCUGGAUCUUGAGGAGAACAAGAUUGUUGACUUCAUCAAAUUUGAUGUUGGAAAUGUAGUCAUGGUUACUGGUGGAAGGAAUAGGGGGCGUGUUGGAGUCAU